AACACUAGAGUGGGCGCGUGGGCUACAGGUGUAGACCAGGGUAUCAUUUUGUUGUAAAUAUCUGGAACGCACGGCACUAGCGCUCCCUCCCUCCGUGUAUUCCUUCUUCACGAACCCCCGCGUGACCCAGCAGCGUGCCCACUGUCCCGGCACACGGGAACCUGAGGAGCACAGCGGCUAAAGUUGCUGGGCUACGUAUGUAGCCCGCGCGACCGUUCUAGGCAAUAAUGGCGGUGAACGAAGGUCAAAUUCGGAAAUGGCUUAUGGAAGACGAGGAAAAUAGUGAUAACUUGAC
Molecule: non-coding RNA, 295 nt
Organism: Plutella xylostella (diamondback moth)
Lineage: Eukaryota; Metazoa; Arthropoda; Insecta; Lepidoptera; Plutellidae
Source: RefSeq, a predicted model, not a curated record